This 978-nucleotide ribosomal RNA is filed under the name uncultured bacterium. RNAcentral describes it as "bacterial SSU rRNA". It matches the Rfam family "Bacterial small subunit ribosomal RNA", at positions 511 to 1500 of the family's 1533-position model. The record is from RNAcentral.
GCAGCCGCGGUAAUACGGAGGAUCCGAGCGUUAUCCGGAUUUAUUGGGUUUAAAGGGUGCGUAGGGCGGCCUUUUAAGUCAGCGGUGAAAGUCUGUGGCUCAACCAUAGAAUUGCCGUUGAAACUGGGGGGCUUGAGUAUGUUUGAGGCAGGCGGAAUGCGUGGUGUAGCGGUGAAAUGCUUAGAUAUCACGCAGAACCCCGAUUGCGAAGGCAGCCUGCCAAGCCAUGACUGACGCUGAUGCACGAAAGCGUGGGGAUCAAACAGGAUUAGAUACCCUGGUAGUCCACGCAGUAAACGAUGAUCACUAGCUGUUUGCGAUACAGUGUAAGCGGCACAGCGAAAGCGUUAAGUGAUCCACCUGGGGAGUACGCCGGCAACGGUGAAACUCAAAGGAAUUGACGGGGGCCCGCACAAGCGGAGGAACAUGUGGUUUAAUUCGAUGAUACGCGAGGAACCUUACCCGGGUUUGAACGCAUUCGGACCGAGGUGGAAACACCUUUUCUAGCAAUAGCCGUUUGCGAGGUGCUGCAUGGUUGUCGUCAGCUCGUGCCGUGAGGUGUCGGCUUAAGUGCCAUAACGAGCGCAACCCUUGCCACUAGUUACUAACAGGUAAAGCUGAGGACUCUGGUGGGACUGCCAGCGUAAGCUGCGAGGAAGGCAGGGAUGACGUCAAAUCAGCACGGCCCUUACAUCCGGGGCGACACACGUGUUACAAUGGCGUGGACAAAGGGAAGCCACCUGGCGACAGGGAGCGAAUCCCCAAACCACGUCUCAGUUCGGAUCGGAGUCUGCAACCCGACUCCGUGAAGCUGGAUUCGCUAGUAAUCGCGCAUCAGCCAUGGCGCGGUGAAUACGUUCCCGGGCCUUGUACACACCGCCCGUCAAGCCAUGGGAGCCGGGGGUACCUGAAGUCCGUAACCGAAAGGAUCGGCCUAGGGUAAAACUGGUGACUGGGGCUAAGUCGUAACAAGGUAGC